CCAGCCUGGCCAACAUGGUGAAACCCCCUCUCUACUAAAAAUACAAAAAAAUUAGCCAGGUGUGGUGGCACAUGCCUGUAGGCCCAGCUACCCGGGAGGCUGAGGCAGGAGAAUAGCUGGAACCUGGGAGGCGGAGCUUGCAGUGAGCCGAGAUCGUACCACUGCACUCCAGCCUGGGUGACAGAGUGAGAUUCUGAAAAAAAAGAAAGAAAAUACCGAGGAGUAGUGGGCAUCUUCAUUGUAUCAGCCCAGUGGCCACUUCCCUUUUUUCUGUGAAUAGUACCCCAAAUAUCUUUCUGGGACCCACUUUUUUCCCACUCUUAGUCCAUGAGAUAAGCUAGGGCUCCCCAUCCUCAUCCUACUUCUUCCCAGCUCUGAGAGUUAAGCAUAAGGGCCUGACCAAGCUUCCUCAUCACAGGGAUUGGUUGGCACCCAGGACUCAGUCUUGAAGUUAGUACUGAUUGGGAAUCAGUCCUGAACACCCAAUGUAGUUGCAUCCUCCUGGCCACGUGACCGAAGCUGAGCCAACCAUAGUCUAUCCCAGCUACUGGAAAGUUGGAUUUGAACUUGAGUGAAUGAGACUCGAGCUACUGGGGGCCAUCAUUUAGGGACUGAAAAGGAAGUCACUACAGCAGAAGGAGGGCUGAGAGAUGGGGAGAAAUCAGAUGCUAAUGUUGAUUUGCGCCAGCUGUAUCUCGAAGAUCUACCCCUAGACUGCUCAGUAACAUGAGCAAUAGGGUCCCCCUUUCUCUGAAGCCAGUUUGAGUUGGGUUCUGUCUUUUACAACAGAAGGAGUUCCAGAUGAAAUCUCUGAGGAUGUGACUCCACUUGGAUAACACCUCCCUGAGCUGCAAGGCAAGGAUUACUCUAUUUUAUAGAUCUGGUCACUGACAGCCAGAGACCAGAACUCUCCUGAGGUCACACAGCAUUGUCCGAGGUCUUAGCUUUUGUGAUGUCUGACCUGAUAUGCUCCUCCAUGAGAUCUUGCUGUCUCCAUGAGCAAGCUUGGCAGGAUGGCCAGCCAAGCCCUACUCACAGGCACCUGCAAGCCAGUAAGGAGGGUUGCCAGGAGAAUAGGGCAUCCUGGUGAGGUACCGGGAGUGCCUCUAAGACAGAGACAAGUCCAUUGGGGCAGAUGAGCUUCUCCCUCUCCAAGGUGAUGUGCCAAGUGACUCAUGGUUUCUCUCAUCUCCUUGAUGCUGAUCUAAAGGCGUUAGUUGACCAGCAGAAAUGAUUAGGUUGUCUAGAUCAUUCAUAUAGAUAAUUGACAUCAACACACCAGAAAACAGCUACCUAUCACUUACUUGCCACCAAGUCCUGCCAAAUGCAAGCUCAUCUCUUUGAUUCCAAUGUUUUCCCCAUUUCUGAGAAAACCACACUCCUCCAGUUUUUCUUUUCCCACUGACCUAUCAGUUAAAUCAGCAAAUACUUACUGUGUGCCUACUCCCACGCAAAACAUUGGACUAGUUGAUUGGAAACACAGAAGGAAUCAUUCAAUAUUUGUGAAUUCAAUAGUGGUUCAUUGAGCCAGGCACAACAUGCCAGACACUUUUCAGGUGCUGGCGAACACAACUGUGAGGAAAACAGCAGAAUCUAUUGUCCUCGUGGUGUCCACAGUCUGGUGGAGGGAUAAGAUGUAGCAGAGGAUUGUAAUUGCUUUUUGGCCACCCAGUUUCCCUUAAUAAAAGCUCCUGAUGUCUUUUGGAGAAUGACCUCUCAUCUAGGCCUUUUUGGACGGACUGCAGUUUCAGGGGCCUUGUGUAUUCCUAAUCAAUACUAACAUCAAGAUUAGUAGAACACUUGCCCUCUAUAGUCAGUAUCACAGGUUUGCUCAUUGAGUGCUCACCAAUACCUAUGGAUAGGUAUCCUCAUGUUCAGAGAGGGAAACUGGGGCAUACUGAGAAUGACUUGGUCACGUGGCUGGUAAAUGGCAGAGCCAGGAUUCAAACCCAGCCUGGCUAGUUCCAGAUACUGCUCUUAACCACCAAUCUACAAUGCUUUGUGAUGUCAGGGAGCUUGUGUUGCCUGGGUGUGGGGACGAUCCAACUGGAUCAUUUGGUCCAAUUGUACUUUUUCUCCCGGAAAUAAGGACCAUGAAAAUAGUGAUGCAAAGAUGGACAGCAUUGUUGCAGUAGCUGUCUUCCGUUGCUAAUGUUCUGAUGUGAUUGUCGUAUACCUCCCACUUGCCUGUAAUCCUGGAGCUUCCCUGGUUGUUUCCCCGUGCAAUGUGAUUCUUGAGUGUUCAUUAUAUUCUGCAGGCCACCCCACAUGCUUCCAAUAAACUCC
This 2286-nucleotide long non-coding RNA is filed under the name Macaca fascicularis (crab-eating macaque). RNAcentral's name for it is "lncRNA (ENSMFAG00000064723.1)". Lineage: Eukaryota; Metazoa; Chordata; Mammalia; Primates; Cercopithecidae. The record is from RNAcentral.